This 525-nucleotide ribosomal RNA is filed under the name uncultured bacterium. Its description in RNAcentral is "bacterial SSU rRNA". It matches the Rfam family "Bacterial small subunit ribosomal RNA", at positions 791 to 1314 of the family's 1533-position model. The record is from RNAcentral.
UAGUCCACGCCGUAAACGAUGAGAACUAACUAUUGGAGUAUUGACUCCUUCAGUGGUAUAGCUAACGCGUUAAGUUCUCCGCCUGGGGAGUACGGUCGCAAGACUAAAACUCAAAGGAAUUGACGGGGGCCCGCACAAGCGGUGGAUUAUGUGGUUUAAUUCGAAGCAACGCGCAAAACCUUACCUGGGCUUAAAAUCCCGAGAAGUUCCUAGAGAUAGGAAUGUGCCCUUCGGGGAAUUCGGUGAUAGGCGCUGCAUGGCUGUCGUCAGCUCGUGUUGUGAAAUGUUGGGUUAAGUCUCGCAACGAGCGCAACCCCUAUUUUUAGUUGCCAGCAUUAAGUUGGGCACUCUAGAGAGACUGCCUGGGUUAACCAGGAGGAAGGUGGGGAUGACGUCAAGUCCUCAUGGCCCUUAUGUCCAGGGCUACACACGUAAUACAAUGGUCAACACAAAGAGCAGCGAACUCGCGAGAGGAAGCGAAUCUCAAAAAAGUUGAUCUCAGUCCGGAUUGGAGUCUGCAACUCG